AGAGUUUGAUCCUGGCUCAGGACGAACGCUGGCGGCGUGCCUAACACAUGCAAGUCGAACGAGGUCCAUCUGGUAGCAAUACCAGUGAAGAUCAAGUGGCGAACGGGUGAGUAGCACGUGAGCAACCUGCCCCGAAGACUGGGACAACACCGGGAAACCGGUGCUAAUACCGGAUACCCCCAUCGGAUCGCAUGAUCAGAUGAGGAAAUGGAUUCCGCUUCGGGAGGGGCUCGCGGCCUAUCAGCUAGUUGGUGAGGUAACGGCUCACCAAGGCUUCGACGGGUAGCUGGUCUGAGAGGACGAUCAGCCACACUGGGACUGAGACACGGCCCAGACUCCUACGGGAGGCAGCAGUGGGGAAUCUUGCACAAUGGGCGAAAGCCUGAUGCAGCAACGCCGCGUGAGGGACGAAGGCUUUCUGAGUUGUAAACCUCUUUCAGCAGGGACGAUUGUGACGGUACCUGCAGAAGAAGCCCCGGCCAANUACGUGCCAGCCGCCGCGGUAAUAC
RNAcentral lists this ribosomal RNA (509 nucleotides) under uncultured soil bacterium. RNAcentral describes it as "bacterial SSU rRNA". It matches the Rfam family "Bacterial small subunit ribosomal RNA", at positions 8 to 526 of the family's 1533-position model. The record is from RNAcentral.